RNAcentral lists this ribosomal RNA (433 nucleotides) under uncultured bacterium. RNAcentral describes it as "partial 16S ribosomal RNA". It matches the Rfam family "Bacterial small subunit ribosomal RNA", at positions 29 to 507 of the family's 1533-position model. The record is from RNAcentral.
AACGAACGCUGGCGGCAUGCCUAACACAUGCAAGUCGAACGAGACCUUCGGGUCUAGUGGCGCACGGGUGCGUAACGCGUGGGAAGCUGCCCUUAGGUUCGGAAUAACUCCCCGAAUGGGGUGCUAAUACCGGAUAAUGUCUUCGGACCAAAGAUUUAUCGCCUUUGGAUGGGCCCGCGUUGGAUUAGCUAGUUGGUAGGGUAAAAGCAUACCAAGGCGACGAUUCAUAGCUGGGCUGAGAGGAUGAUCAGCCACACUGGGACUGAGACACGGCCCAGACUCCUACGGGAGGGAGGAGAGGGGAAUAUUGGAAAAUGGGCGAAAGCCUGAUCCAGCAAGGCCGGGUAAGUGAUGAAGGCCGUAGGGUUGUAAAGCUCUUUUACCCGGGAUGAUAAUGACAGUACCGGGAGAAUAAGCUCCGGCUAACUACGUG